GUUGACAAGCGCACUCUACCGAAAGGUGUUGGCUCUCCACCUUAAAGGCGUCAUGGCCAGGACGAAGAGAAAAUGACUAUUUGGGGCAUCAACUGCUAUGUGCAAAAUUCAUUCUCCACGUUAAAGAACGUAUUUACUGAGCACAGACGCAUGCUGCACAGGCAACAAGCCCACCUCAUCCAGCUUGCAUUUGAAAAUUACCUCAGUCAGAAAUUCAAAGAUGAAUGGAAGGAGGUGCUGUUAUGGAGGUCCCACUCAUCAGGAAAGAGGCGACUGCAACGCUACAGAAGUCAGUUCUGUGAGUACUCGCAGCUGGAAGCUGAGUGUGUGAUACAUGGAGAGCUGACGUCUUCGCUCCCCACGCCAAACUAUUGAUAAGUACUAACUACUACUGCACGUACCAGUUUUCUG
This is a long non-coding RNA of Thalassophryne amazonica, 411 nucleotides long. RefSeq lists it as uncharacterized. The record is from RefSeq and is a predicted model, not a curated record. Lineage: Eukaryota; Metazoa; Chordata; Actinopteri; Batrachoidiformes; Batrachoididae. The transcript has 3 exons.